This 22-nucleotide non-coding RNA is filed under the name Arabidopsis thaliana (thale cress). The record is from RNAcentral. Lineage: Eukaryota; Viridiplantae; Streptophyta; Magnoliopsida; Brassicales; Brassicaceae.
AGCAUUUGGUCAAUGAAUGGUA